This is an RNA transcript of Gorilla gorilla gorilla (western lowland gorilla), 2086 nucleotides long. RefSeq lists it as uncharacterized. Lineage: Eukaryota; Metazoa; Chordata; Mammalia; Primates; Hominidae. The record is from RefSeq and is a predicted model, not a curated record. The transcript is spliced from 3 exons.
GGAAUCUUUCAGUUCAACCAUCUAAGUAACCUGAACCAGAGAAAAAACAAGACUACCAUGUCCAGCCAGCAGAAUGCUAUAAUAUGCUAUGAUGACUGGAAUCCUUGUUAACCAAUUCCAGCAACCUCCCGGGCCAGAAACAAAUACCCAAAUGCAGCAUUUGAGAGAUUGCUACUUGUCUGUCGCCUCCUCGAGAACAGCACGUAACUGCAAUGCAGCCUGUACAGGAGGACAGAGGGAAGGAAAAGCCAGAGCCAGGUCUUGAGCUGAGGAGGGCAGAGUCUUGUGGAGGGCCCUCAGGACUGGGUGAUGCUGUGAGGGAGCAUGAACCCCGUGUCCCUGAGGGUCCUGAGCGCUACUCGGCCAUUGGGUCGGAUCACCAGGUGGGUGAUGCUGCCGUUGUUGAGGGAGCAGUGGAGCCAGCCUUCGGGAGGAAACUGCAGCGCUGUGCCCUGUCAGCUGCAGCGAAUGACACUGGCGUGACAUCGGAAGAUCUCCUAAUUAUCCUCCCCCUGCUUGGCAUCCCCCGAGGGAUGUAGUUUCGGAGCGCUCCCUCGAUCCGGACUCCAUCUUCAUAGCAUGCCCAGCGGCCGCUUCCAGUGAUACGCUGCCAGGCUGGCUUGACAAGGAGGGUUCCCGCCCCAGGUCUGUGCGGCCUUUGAAGACGCUUGGCGGGUGCCUGUUGCUGAAGCCAGUGGUUUCUAUGGGGUGGGUCAUGGAGGAAUGGACGAUUUUAUUAAACCUCAACCCCAAGCUUGCAAGUCGGAGUCCAGUUAGUUCGACCUGUUCACGACCCGGUGGGUUCAGACUGCAGUCCUCUUCCAGGGAGCCGUCCACAUGGUAUUGGGAACGCAUGACGAGGAGGGUGUGCCCUGUGGCCUUGGCUCUGCAGUGGUCCAGCCUGGAAGCCAGCUCUUCUCCAGAUUCCACGUUCCUCUUCCUUAGGUUGUUCAGAGACAGUGGUUCUUGCCUGUCCCGGUCGGGGUCCCAGACGCUGAGGCUCGGCCGCAUGCCCCACGCCUAGGCCCGCGGCUCGGCUGCGCGCGGCUUCCCCGCUGUGUCAGCGAAGCAGAACCCCGGGACCAAGCCCCUGGCCAGCCCCCAGACUGCCAACCUCAGCACCUGCUGGAUCCCGGGGCCGCCCGCUCCCGCUCAGUUCCCAGGCGCUCAAUGCCUGGCAGGCGCGCCGCCUCUGGAUAUGCUUUUAAAUAACAGAGUUGGGCCGGGCGCAGUUGCUCAAGCCUACCUGUAAUUCCAGACAUACAGGAGCUCCACACCAGCCUGGGCAGCAUAGCGAGACUACAAAAAUGAAGAUAAAAUAAAUUGGACUGUGGUGGCACGUCCGUGUCAUCCCAGCUACUAAGGAGGCUCAGGCGGGAGAAUGGCUUGAGCCUGGGAGUCCAAGGCUGUAGUGAUCUAUGAUGGCGCCUCUGCACUCCAGCCUGGGUGACAGAGCAAGACUCUAUCUCAAUAAAUAAGACUCCUUGGAGAAGUUCACAUGACAUUCUGUUUGACGUAAAAUCAGCAUGUGUCCCAAGUAAAUCAACAACAGCUGUUUUAAAUAGCAGAUUGUAUUUCAAAAUAUCAUUAUGAACCAGGGGAAGAAUUGCAUGGAUGCCUGUGUCUCCAGAUUACAGUGAUGGAACCUAGCAUCUGGACAUUGUGGCCAUGGGCAGACAGAUCUCAGAGUUGGCUGGAAGAUGGUUAUCUAUUUAAUGAAACAGUGAUCUUUAGGGGGAAAUUUUUUUCAUGAUUCAUGGGUUAAAAAUGCCAGCAAAAAAGAAUGAAAGGAAAAAAGGCUUGGUUACAUUCAGAGGAGUCAUGCUUCUGUUGGCUGAAGCUUCUACUCAGAAUCCUGUGCAUUUCUCUAAAUGGGGUAGCAAAGCAGUUUAAUACUAGUUUGUUCACUUCAAAAGUACUCAUACCAAUAAACUAAGUAAGAUUCAGUACCCAUCCCUACAAGAGUUCUUAGAUGACAUGAUGGACUAACUGUAUUACACUGUGUCACUAAGAAAGUGUAGAUUCUGUGACCUACAGGUUGUUCCAGGCACAGGAUGGACCUGGCUGCACUUUUCAGUCUCUCUUA